Dama dama (fallow deer) is the source of this 920-nucleotide long non-coding RNA. RefSeq lists it as uncharacterized. The record is from RefSeq and is a predicted model, not a curated record. NCBI's taxonomy places the organism in Eukaryota, Metazoa, Chordata, Mammalia, Artiodactyla, Cervidae. The transcript is spliced from 3 exons.
GGCUCGGGGCGCGUGCGCGACCGGGAGCUCCGGGCUAGGCACUGCGGGACGCAGGCGCGGCUGCGGCUUCCUUGUUCGGUCUCGAGUGGGGGCCGGCGGACGCGGGUGGAGUUAGCUCCGGGUGUUGGCCACGCUCUCACGUCGCCAGACCGCAGGAGACGGGGGCCCUACGUUCAGCUCCCUCACCUCAGCUGCUCCAGCUGCCCCAGAAGAUACCGACGGUCAGAGAGGCUGAAUCACCGGCCCAAGAUCUUUUUGAAGAGAUGAACUUGACGGCUUGCUUUUCCCUCCUCCCGGUUCACUUCCUUCUUCCCACCCAAGGGCGAACAGUGAAUCAAAAACAGGAAGGAGCUGCGGGCUGCUCUGGAAGGGGGCUUGGAAGCUUUCUGUUCAGGACCACACAGUAAAUGUUUUCGGCUCUGAAGGUCCGUGGCAAUGACUCUGUGCUGUUAUAAUCGGAAAGCACCAGAGUUUAUAUGGAAACGAAUAGCUGUGACUAUCAACUUUAUUUACAGCCACACCAAUGUGACUGUCAUAUAAUUUCCAUGUGUCUCAAAAUACUUUGAUUUUCAUUCAACCAUUUAAAGAUGUAAAAAAAAAAUUCUUAGCUCACGUACAUCCUUGCCUGCUUAGUCACUCAGUUGUAUUCGACUCUUUAUGAUCCCAUGGACUGUACCCCACCAGGCUCCUCUGUCCAUGGGAUUUCCCAGGCAAGACUACUGGAGUGGGUUGCCAUUCCCUUCUCUAGAGGAUCUUCCCCAUCAGGGAUCAAACCUGCAUCUCCUGUGUCUCCUGCAUUGGCAGGCAGAUUCUUUAUCUACUGACGCUAUAACAAAACCACAGAAAGGGGAUGUGACCCGCAGGCCAGAGUUUGCCAACUGUAUAACAUUGGACUGUUUUGUUCAACUGUGUCACCUUUC